RNAcentral lists this ribosomal RNA (252 nucleotides) under uncultured bacterium. Its description in RNAcentral is "partial 16S ribosomal RNA". It matches the Rfam family "Bacterial small subunit ribosomal RNA", at positions 524 to 776 of the family's 1533-position model. The record is from RNAcentral.
UACAGAGGUCUCAAGCGUGUUCGGAUUCAUUGGGCGUAAAGGGUGCGUAGGUGGCGCCGUAAGUCAGGUGUGAAAUUUCGGAGCUUAACUCCGAAACUGCAUUUGAUACUGCGGUGCUUGAGGACUGGAGAGGAGACUGGAAUUCACGGUGUAGCAGUGAAAUGCGUAGAUAUCGUGAGGAAGACCAGUGGCGAAGGCGGGUCUCUGGACAGUUCCUGACACUGAGGCACGAAGGCUAGGGGAGCAAACGGG